UACGGAGGAUCCAAGCGUUAUCCGGAAUCAUUGGGUUUAAAGGGUCCGUAGGCGGUUUUGUAAGUCAGUGGUGAAAUCCGGCAGCUUAACUGUCGAACUGCCAUUGAUACUGCAGGACUUGAAUUACUGUGAAGUAACUAGAAUAUGUAGUGUAGCGGUGAAAUGCUUAGAUAUUACAUGGAAUACCAAUUGCGAAGGCAGGUUACUAACAUUAUAUUGACGCUGAUGGACGAAAGCGUGGGUAGCGAACAGG
RNAcentral lists this non-coding RNA (253 nucleotides) under uncultured bacterium. Its description in RNAcentral is "partial 16S ribosomal RNA". It matches the Rfam family "Bacterial small subunit ribosomal RNA", at positions 524 to 776 of the family's 1533-position model. RNAcentral also lists the same sequence under 1 other name. The record is from RNAcentral.